RNAcentral lists this ribosomal RNA (353 nucleotides) under uncultured marine eukaryote. RNAcentral's name for it is "SSU rRNA". It matches the Rfam family "Eukaryotic small subunit ribosomal RNA", at positions 613 to 967 of the family's 1831-position model. The record is from RNAcentral.
UUGUGGUUAAAAAGCUCGUAGUUGGAUCUCAACAGCCUUGGAAGCGGUUAACUUUGUAGUUUUACUGCUUUAUAGGCUGUGCUUUUGCUGGAGGUUUAGGGGUGCUCUUGAUCGAGUGUCUCUGGAUGCCAGCAGGUUUACUUUGAAAAAAUUAGAGUGCUCAAAGCAGGCUAAAAUGCCUGAAUAUUCGUGCAUGGAAUAAUAGAAUAGGAUGUCGAUCCUAUUUUGUUGGUUUUCGGGACUCGACAUAAUGAUAAAUAGGGACAGUCGGGGGCAUUUGUAUUCAAACGACAGAGGUGAAAUUCUUGGACCGUUUGAAGACAAACUACUGCGAAAGCUUUUGCCAAGAAUGU